UGAGGAAUAUUGGUCAAUGGCCGUAAGGCUGAACCAGCCAAGUAGCGUGAGGGAAGACUGCCCUAUGGGUUGUAAACCUCUUUUAUGCGGGGAUAAAGGUGUCCACGUGUGGAUGUUUGCAGGUACCGCAUGAAUAAGGACCGGCUAAUUCCGUGCCAGCAGCCGCGGUAAUACGGAAGGUCCGGGCGUUAUCCGGAUUUAUUGGGUUUAAAGGGAGCGUAGGCCGGUCUUUAAGCGUGCCGUGAAAUUUUGUGGCUCAACCAUGAGAGUGCGGCGCGAACUGGAGACCUUGAGUGCGCGGAAGGCAGGCGGAAUUCGUGGUGUAGCGGUGAAAUGCUUAGAUAUCACGAAGAACCCCGAUUGCGAAGGCAGCCUGCCGCAGCGUUACUGACGCUGAAGCUCGAAAGCGCGGGUAUCGAACA
Molecule: ribosomal RNA, 422 nt
Filed under: uncultured Prevotella sp.
Lineage: Bacteria; Pseudomonadati; Bacteroidota; Bacteroidia; Bacteroidales; Prevotellaceae
Description: bacterial SSU rRNA
Rfam family: Bacterial small subunit ribosomal RNA
Source: RNAcentral